AUUGAACGCUGGCGGCAUGCUUUACACAUGCAAGUCGAACGGUAACAGGCCGCAAGGCGCUGACGAGUGGCGAACGGGUGAGUAAUGCAUCGGAACGUGCCCAGUCGUGGGGGAUAACGCAGCGAAAGCUGUGCUAAUACCGCAUACGAUCUAUGGAUGAAAGCGGGGGACCGUAAGGCCUUGCGCGAUUGGAGCGGCCGAUGUCAGAUUAGGUAGUUGGUGGGGUAAAGGCUCACCAAGCCAACGAUCUGUAGCUGGUCUGAGAGGACGACUAGCCACACUGGGACUGAGACACGGCCCAGACUCCUACGGGAGGCAGCAGUGGGGAAUUUUGGACAAUGGGCGCAAGCCUGAUCCAGCAAUGCCGCGUGCAGGAAGAAGGCCUUCGGGUUGUAAACUGCUUUUGUACGGAACGAAAAGGUUUGGGUUAAUACCCUGGGCCGAUGACGGUACCGUAAGAAUAAGCACCGGCUAACUACGUGCCAGCCGCCGCGGUAA
RNAcentral lists this ribosomal RNA (498 nucleotides) under uncultured bacterium. Its description in RNAcentral is "partial 16S ribosomal RNA". It matches the Rfam family "Bacterial small subunit ribosomal RNA", at positions 30 to 523 of the family's 1533-position model. The record is from RNAcentral.